GGCUUUAGCUCAGUGGUAGAGCAGCUGCCUUGCAUGCAGAAGGUUCUGGGUUCAGUUCCAGGCAGGGCUG
Non-coding RNA from Podarcis lilfordi (Lilford's wall lizard), 70 nucleotides. NCBI's taxonomy places the organism in Eukaryota, Metazoa, Chordata, Lepidosauria, Squamata, Lacertidae. The record is from the annotation of a GenBank genome assembly.